Molecule: ribosomal RNA, 429 nt
Filed under: bacterium
Lineage: Bacteria
Description: partial 16S ribosomal RNA
Rfam family: Bacterial small subunit ribosomal RNA
Source: RNAcentral
UAGGGAAUCUUCCACAAUGGACGCAAGUCUGAUGGAGCAACGCCGCGUGAGUGAAGAAGGUUUUCGGAUCGUAAAGCUCUGUUGUUGGUGAAGAAGGAUAGAGGCAGUAACUGGUCUUUAUUUGACGGUAAUCAACCAGAAAGUCACGGCUAACUACGUGCCAGCAGCCGCGGUAAUACGUAGGUGGCAAGCGUUGUCCGGAUUUAUUGGGCGUAAAGCGAGCGCAGGCGGAAUGAUAAGUCUGAUGUGAAAGCCCACGGCUCAACCGUGGAACUGCAUCGGAAACUGUCAUUCUUGAGUGCAGAAGAGGAGAGUGGAAUUCCAUGUGUAGCGGGGGAAUGCGUAGAUAUAUGGAAGAACACCAGUGGCGAAGGCGGCUCUCUGGUCUGCAACUGACGCUGAGGCUCGAAAGCAUGGGUAGCGAACAGG